Molecule: ribosomal RNA, 243 nt
Filed under: uncultured bacterium
Lineage: Bacteria
Description: partial 16S ribosomal RNA
Rfam family: Bacterial small subunit ribosomal RNA
Source: RNAcentral
GCUAGCGUUGCUCGGAAUCACUGGGCGUAAAGGGUGCGUAGGCGGGUCUUUAAGUCAGGGGUGAAAUCCUGGAGCUCAACUCCAGAACUGCCUUUGAUACUGAGGAUCUUGAGUUCGGGAGAGGUGAGUGGAACUGCGAGUGUAGAGGUGAAAUUCGUAGAUAUUCGCAAGAACACCAGUGGCGAAGGCGGCUCACUGGCCCGAUACUGACGCUGAGGCACGAAAGCGUGGGGAGCAAACAGG